UCCCAAGUGGCUCAGUGCUAAAGAACCUGCCUGCCAAGCAGGAGAUGCAGAUUUGAUCCCUGGGUUGGGAA
This is a transfer RNA of Ovis aries (sheep), 71 nucleotides long. It matches the Rfam family "tRNA". Rfam says of the family: Transfer RNA (tRNA) molecules are approximately 80 nucleotides in length. Their secondary structure includes four short double-helical elements and three loops (D, anti-codon, and T loops). The record is from Rfam. NCBI's taxonomy places the organism in Eukaryota, Metazoa, Chordata, Mammalia, Artiodactyla, Bovidae.